Megachile rotundata (alfalfa leafcutting bee) is the source of this 1756-nucleotide long non-coding RNA. RefSeq lists it as uncharacterized. The record is from RefSeq and is a predicted model, not a curated record. Lineage: Eukaryota; Metazoa; Arthropoda; Insecta; Hymenoptera; Megachilidae.
CUAGGAACGAGGGAUCGGCAGUGGCGAAAAAACAGGCCGGAGCGAAGGAAGUGAACCUGAGUGAUCGUCUCUCUUUCAUCGGCAAGUUUCGCACACAACGAGUACGAAGCCAAAGCCGUGGUUUUGAGAUGUAUCUAACUCAAUCUACCCUCUAUGCCCUUAGAUUAUCGUUUCAACAGGGGGCUGUGACGUCUAUGGUUCGUAAAAAUAUCAUCGAACGAAACAUCAUGAUGUCGGCGAUCGUCCUUGCAGCUGUUGGUCUAUCAAUGAAUUUAUAUUCUGCCACGAAAAUGUUGACAUCUGAUCAGCGAGGUCAACUGUAACAAUUUUUUGCUAAGAUCAUCAGCAACGGAUCGAUCCUAAAGAGGAAAGGAGAAAUAGACAAGAAGACUAUCUCAUCAAUAUGAUUUUACACAUUCGAAUCGUAUGCAACAUCUUUUCAACGGAAAUUUAUGAUCAUAUUAGGAUAGUUACCUAGCAUUAGGAAUUUUGUAUAAUUAAUUUAUUGACAAAAGCAAAGUAUUUUCAAUCAUUAUCAUUAUAUCGGUCUGAUCUAAAUAAUUCUUGUAACAAGCACGUGUUAGUAUAUUAAUAUUUGGAGGGCAACGGAAAAAACAAGCAUAUAACAUAUUUUCGCUUGAAUGAUAGAAAAUGAUAAUGAAGAAACUUUUGUCGAUUUAAUGGAUACCGUUAAAAUACAAGAAAAGAUUCUAUACGAGUUAUUGUAGAAAGGAAAUGGUUGCCCUUUAAUGAUUUUAAACGAUUAUUAUUGAUUCGUAGGGAUACGAUUUAACAAUAUUAGCUCUUGAAUAGGAAAAUCAACUCGUCAUCGAGGUUUUAUUGCGAUCGUUGCUACUAAAUUGAGUCACGAAAGAUGGCUAGGUUAUUUAACCGCACAUUUGUACAUUUAUAUAGGUUGUAUUGUCAUAGUCGAUCAUACAAAUUUUCUGUUACCACAAGAUCGUUAACGAGCGUUGUUUUUUAAUAUUUUUAUUUUUCCCCUACCCUUCGAUCCUAUCAACUGUACGGUUUUAAAGUUAGAUAUUUAUGCCGAAACGAUUACUUUUUCGGUAACUUAGUUAACACCGUGAGGUGCGCAUAGUUCCUUCUCCACUAUGAAGCAAUAAAAAAAAGCGGCAGAAUCAUUUUAUCCUUAGACUUAACGUGUACAUUUAUUUAUAAUUAUUAUACAGUCUCACACUCGAUAUUUCUUGUCGCAACGUCUCGUCUAAUAUUCUCCCGCAUUCGUUCUUUCACAAAAGUUCUCGACGCUUAAUCUCACAAAUUUUCGUUCUUUUAAAACGCCCUCAUCCACACCACAGGGAAACAUCGACGAGAUGAACCGUUAUCGAAUAUAUGUAUAUCAUCGUACGUAAAAGAAUGUUCCUUAGCGUGUAAAAAAAUAUUGGAUUUCUAGACAUUAUAUUUUUUUUCUUUUUAGUCGAUCCUUCCCUUUGCGUGCAUGCGGAUACUUGCACACGGAAUAUACAAAUAUAAAGAGUAGCUAUAGAAUUAACAAUUUCACGAUCGUCGGACCGCUCGAUCCUUCGAUAGGUCAAGAGAACUUAAACGUAACAUAGAAUAAAACUGAAGAGAGAAACGUUAACGACGAUUAUUAACACUUGGUAACGAUUUAGCGAAUUGUCCAGAUAACUGUAACAAUUUUUCCUUUUGUGUGUAACAGCAACUCUACCAACUGACUACUCGACUCGAUAUUUAUCUUGUACUUAAAAGAAACUUUGGCAAUCGCUACGCU